Molecule: ribosomal RNA, 301 nt
Filed under: uncultured bacterium
Lineage: Bacteria
Description: partial 16S ribosomal RNA
Rfam family: Bacterial small subunit ribosomal RNA
Source: RNAcentral
CAGCCGCCGCGGGAACACGAAGGGUGCAAGCGUUACUCGGAAUUACUGGGCGUAAAGCGUGCGUAGGUGGUGGUUUAAGUCCGUUGUGUAAGCCCUGGGCUCAACCUGGGAAUUGCAGUGGAUACUGGGUCACUAGAGUGUGGUAGAGGAUAGUGGAAUUUCCGGUGUAGCAGUGAAAUGCGUAGAGAUCGGAAGGAACAUCUGUGGCGAAGGCGACUAUCUGGGCCAACACUGACACUGAGGCACGAAAGCGUGGGGAGCAAACAGGAUUAGAUACCCCCGUAGUCCCUGUCUCUUAUAC